AAAAAUACCUGUUUGUAACCGGCGCACCGGCCGACAAGGAUAGUGCUAUCGAUCUCCACCGCCCUAGGUAGCCACCCCCUGCGCCGGUGGCCAGAUUCAGCACUCCAGAUCCCGUCGAGCUUCUCCUCCGUCUACUUCCUGCUAGUAAUUCCUCGCGGCUUCGCCGUUCAUCGCGGAAGCGACGGCAACUGUGCGCGCCGGAUAAAAAGAGACAAGGCACGCCGCCGGGAUCCCCACCGCCGCCUCCUGUGAUUGAUUAAGGACGAGAGAACAGUUCAGACAUCCAGCUGCAGUUAUGUACUGCAAUACGGCUCCUGAAUGUUGCGCACAUCUUCUUGUUCAAUGCGUAUUUUUGCCAUGAAGUUUGGAGCUUGGUGAGCUCCAGGAAUGCUACAGAGUUCCAUAUCCCUGGUCCAGAGCGCUAAAGCAAUGAAGGUUGAUUGUUGAUGGCUAGGAGGAGAGCAGCUUCUUGUAUUACUGCUUUUUAGUCCGAGUUUCAGGUCGUUUUGGCUCCAGGAGUAGUAUGUAACAUGUCUUGUAAUUUUGGUUUGUCCUUGGUUGAUACUAGUUGUUGAUGUUGUGUUCUACAAUAAUAUAUCAAUGAAUUUGUUUCAAAAUUA
This is a long non-coding RNA of Lolium perenne, 620 nucleotides long. RefSeq lists it as uncharacterized. Lineage: Eukaryota; Viridiplantae; Streptophyta; Magnoliopsida; Poales; Poaceae. The record is from RefSeq and is a predicted model, not a curated record.